Molecule: ribosomal RNA, 253 nt
Filed under: uncultured bacterium
Lineage: Bacteria
Description: partial 16S ribosomal RNA
Rfam family: Bacterial small subunit ribosomal RNA
Source: RNAcentral
UACGGAGGGGGCUAGCGUUGUUCGGAAUUACUGGGCGUAAAGCGCGCGUAGGCGGCUUUGUAAGUUAGAGGUGAAAGCCCGGAGCUCAACUCCGGAACUGCCUUUAAGACUGCAUCGCUAGAAUUGUGGAGAGGUGAGUGGAAUUCCGAGUGUAGAGGUGAAAUUCGUAGAUAUUCGGAAGAACACCAGUGGCGAAGGCGACUUACUGGACGACUGUUGACGCUGAGGUGCGAAAGCGUGGGGAGCAAACAGG